RNAcentral lists this ribosomal RNA (516 nucleotides) under uncultured bacterium. Its description in RNAcentral is "bacterial SSU rRNA". It matches the Rfam family "Bacterial small subunit ribosomal RNA", at positions 28 to 562 of the family's 1533-position model. The record is from RNAcentral.
AAUGAACGUUGGCGGCGUGGAUUAGGCAUGCAAGUCGAGCGUGUACCCGCAAGGGGAAAGCGGCAAACGGGGUAGGAACGCGUAGGUCACGUACCCCUCGGCCGGGGAUAGCCACGGGAAACUGUGGGUAAUACCCGAUGACGCCGAGAGGCCAAAGGUGUGAUUCCGCCGGGGGAGCGGCCUGCGUAGUAUUAGCUAGUUGGUGAGGUAACGGCUCACCAAGGCGAAGAUGCUUAGGGGGUGUGAGAGCAUGACCCCCACCACUGGGACUGAGAUACUGCCCAGACACCUACGGGUGGCUGCAGUCGAGAAUCUUCGGCAAUGGGGGCAACCCUGACCGAGCGACGCCGCGUGUGGGAUGAAGGCCCUUGGGUUGUAAACCACUGUCAGAGGGAUGAAACGAUCAUGGGUUCUCCCAUGGUCCUGACAUAGCCUCAGAGGAAGCACGGGCUAAGUUCGUGCCAGCAGCCGCGGUAAUACGAACUGUGCAAACGUUAUUCGGAAUCACUGGGUACG